AAACUUUGCAAUGUGCGAAAGCACGACAAGGUUAAUCCGAGUGUUUCCUGCUAAAGGAAUCUUUUGUUAGUCGUAAAAUCACUAUUGAAUAAGGGGUGGGCAAGUUCUGGUGUCAGCCGCCGCGGUAAAACCAGCACCUCAAGUGGUCAGGAGGUUUAUUGGGCCUAAAGCAUCCGUAGCCUGAUCUAUAAGUUUCCGGUUAAAUCCACAUGCUCAACAUUUGGGCUGCCGGAAAAACUGUAGAUCUAGGGAGUGGGAGAGGUAGACGGUACUCGGUAGGAAGGGGUAAAAUCCUUUGAUCUAUUGAUGACCACCAGUGGCGAAGGCGGUCUACCAGAACACGUUCGACGGUGAGGGAUGAAAGCUGGGGGAGCAAACCGG
This 381-nucleotide ribosomal RNA is filed under the name uncultured archaeon. RNAcentral describes it as "bacterial SSU rRNA". It matches the Rfam family "Archaeal small subunit ribosomal RNA", at positions 345 to 727 of the family's 1478-position model. The record is from RNAcentral.